GGGUUGUGAGGUUAAGCGACUAAGCGUACACGGUGGAUGCCCUGGCAGUCAGAGGCGAUGAAGGACGUGCUAAUCUGCGAAAAGCGUCGGUAAGGUGAUAUGAACCGUUAUAGCCGGCGAUGUCCGAAUGGGGAAACCCAGUGUGAUUCGUCACACUAUCGUUAACUGAAUACAUAGGUUAACGAGGCGAACCGGGGGAACUGAAACAUCUAAGUACCCCGAGGAAAAGAAAUCAACCGAGAUUCCCCCAGUAGCGGCGAGCGAACGGGGAGCAGCCCAGAGUCUGAAUCAGCUUGUGUGUUAGUGGAACGGUCUGGAAAGUCCGACGGUACAGGGUGAUAGUCCCGUACACCAAAAUGCACAGGCUGUGAACUCGAAGAGUAGGGCGGGACACGUGGUAUCCUGUCUGAAUAUGGGGGGACCAUCCUCCAAGGCUAAAUACUCCUGACUGACCGAUAGUGAACCAGUACCGUGAGGGAAAGGCGAAAAGAACCCCGGCGAGGGGAGUGAAAAAGAACCUGAAACCGUGUACGUACAAGCAGUGGGAGCACCUUCGGGUGUGACUGCGUACCUUUUGUAUAAUGGGUCAGCGACUUAUAUUCUGUAGCAAGGUUAACCGUAUAGGGGAGCCGCAGGGAAACCGAGUCUUAACUGGGCGUUAAGUUGCAGGGUAUAGACCCGAAACCCGGUGAUCUAGCCAUGGGCAGGUUGAAGGUUGGGUAACACUAACUGGAGGACCGAACCGACUAAUGUUGAAAAAUUAGCGGAUGACUUGUGGCUGGGGGUGAAAGGCCAAUCAAACCGGGAGAUAGCUGGUUCUCCCCGAAAGCUAUUUAGGUAGCGCCUCGUGAACUCAUCUUCGGGGGUAGAGCACUGUUUCGGCUAGGGGGUCAUCCCGACUUACCAACCCGAUGCAAACUACGAAUACCGAAGAAUGUUAUCACGGGAGACACACGGCGGGUGCUAACGUCCGUCGUGAAGAGGGAAACAACCCAGACCGCCAGCUAAGGUCCCAAAGUCAUGGUUAAGUGGGAAACGAUGUGGGAAGGCACAGACAGCCAGGAUGUUGGCUUAGAAGCAGCCAUCAUUUAAAGAAAGCGUAAUAGCUCACUGGUCGAGUCGGCCUGCGCGGAAGAUGUAACGGGGCUAAACCAUGCACCGAAGCUGCGGCAGCGACACUAUGUGUUGUUGGGUAGGGGAGCGUUCUGUAAGCCUGCGAAGGUGACCUGUGAGGGUUGCUGGAGGUAUCAGAAGUGCGAAUGCUGACAUAAGUAACGAUAAAGCGGGUGAAAAGCCCGCUCGCCGGAAGACCAAGGGUUCCUGUCCAACGUUAAUCGGGGCAGGGUGAGUCGACCCCUAAGGCGAGGCCGAAAGGCGUAGUCGAUGGGAAACAGGUUAAUAUUCCUGUACUUGGUGUUACUGCGAAGGGGGGACGGAGAAGGCUAUGUUAGCCGGGCGACGGUUGUCCCGGUUUAAGCAUGUAGGCUGGUUGUCCAGGCAAAUCCGGAUAAUCAAGGCUGAGGUGUGAUGACGAGGCACUACGGUGCUGAAGUAACAAAUGCCCUGCUUCCAGGAAAAGCCUCUAAGCAUCAGGUAACAUUAAAUCGUACCCCAAACCGACACAGGUGGUCAGGUAGAGAAUACCAAGGCGCUUGAGAGAACUCGGGUGAAGGAACUAGGCAAAAUGGUGCCGUAACUUCGGGAGAAGGCACGCUGGUGUGUAGGUGAAGUCCCUGCGGAUGGAGCUGAGACCAGUCGAAGAUACCAGCUGGCUGCAACUGUUUAUUAAAAACACAGCACUGUGCAAACACGAAAGUGGACGUAUACGGUGUGACGCCUGCCCGGUGCCGGAAGGUUAAUUGAUGGGGUUAUCCGUAAGGAGAAGCUCUUGAUCGAAGCCCCGGUAAACGGCGGCCGUAACUAUAACGGUCCUAAGGUAGCGAAAUUCCUUGUCGGGUAAGUUCCGACCUGCACGAAUGGCGUAAUGAUGGCCAGGCUGUCUCCACCCGAGACUCAGUGAAAUUGAACUCGCUGUGAAGAUGCAGUGUACCCGCGGCAAGACGGAAAGACCCCGUGAACCUUUACUAUAGCUUGACACUGAACAUUGAGCCUUGAUGUGUAGGAUAGGUGGGAGGCUUUGAAGCGUGGACGCCAGUCUGCGUGGAGCCAACCUUGAAAUACCACCCUUUAAUGUUUGAUGUUCUAACGUUGGCCCCUUACCGGGGUUGCGGACAGUGUCUGGUGGGUAGUUUGACUGGGGCGGUCUCCUCCCAAAGCGUAACGGAGGAGCACGAAGGUUAGCUAAUCCUGGUCGGACAUCAGGAGGUUAGUGCAAUGGCAUAAGCUAGCUUGACUGCGAGCGUGACGGCGCGAGCAGGUGCGAAAGCAGGUCAUAGUGAUCCGGUGGUUCUGAAUGGAAGGGCCAUCGCUCAACGGAUAAAAGGUACUCCGGGGAUAACAGGCUGAUACCGCCCAAGAGUUCAUAUCGACGGCGGUGUUUGGCACCUCGAUGUCGGCUCAUCACAUCCUGGGGCUGAAGUAGGUCCCAAGGGUAUGGCUGUUCGCCAUUUAAAGUGGUACGCGAGCUGGGUUUAGAACGUCGUGAGACAGUUCGGUCCCUAUCUGCCGUGGGCGCUGGAGAAUUGAGGGGGGCUGCUCCUAGUACGAGAGGACCGGAGUGGACGCAUCACUGGUGUUCGGGUUGUCAUGCCAAUGGCACUGCCCGGUAGCUAAAUGCGGAAGAGAUAAGUGCUGAAAGCAUCUAAGCACGAAACUUGCCCCGAGAUGAGUUCUCCCUGAGACUUUAAGUCUCCUGAAGGAACGUUAAAGACGAUGACGUUGAUAGGCCGGGUGUGUAAGCGCAGCGAUGCGUUGAGCUAACCGGUACUAAUGAACCGUGAGGCUUAACCUUACAACGCCGAAG
Molecule: ribosomal RNA, 2923 nt
Filed under: Klebsiella pneumoniae
Lineage: Bacteria; Pseudomonadati; Pseudomonadota; Gammaproteobacteria; Enterobacterales; Enterobacteriaceae
Description: bacterial LSU rRNA
Rfam family: Bacterial large subunit ribosomal RNA
Source: RNAcentral